GCAGUGGUGAUUCAGUGGUAGGAUUCUCACCCUUCAUGUGGGAGACCUGGGUUUGAUUCCCGGCCAAUGUA
This 71-nucleotide transfer RNA is filed under the name Loxodonta africana (African savanna elephant). It matches the Rfam family "tRNA". From Rfam's summary of the family: Transfer RNA (tRNA) molecules are approximately 80 nucleotides in length. Lineage: Eukaryota; Metazoa; Chordata; Mammalia; Proboscidea; Elephantidae. The record is from Rfam by way of RNAcentral.